GGUGACUAAKGCCUAGGAAAUUGCCUUGAUGUGGGGGAUAACCAUUGGAAACGAUGGCUMAUACCUGCAUAAUGCCUACGGUGCCAAAGAGGGGGACCUUCAGGCCUCUCUUGUCAAGAUAUGCCUAGGUGGGAUUAGCUAGUUGGUGAGGUAAUGCGCUCACCAAGGCGACUAUCCCUACCUGGUCUGAGAGGAUGAUCAGCCUCGCUGGAACUGACACACUGUCCAGACUCAUACGGGAGGCACCAGUGGGGAAUAUUGCACAUUGGGCGAAAGCCUGAUGCAUCCAUGCCGCGUGUAUGAAGAAGGCCUUCCGGUUGUAAAGUACUUUCAGUUGUGAAGAAGGGGGUAGCGUUAAUASCACUAUCUCUUGACGUUCGCAACAGAA
This 388-nucleotide ribosomal RNA is filed under the name Vibrio sp. IH2O1I_044. RNAcentral describes it as "bacterial SSU rRNA". It matches the Rfam family "Bacterial small subunit ribosomal RNA", at positions 105 to 486 of the family's 1533-position model. The record is from RNAcentral. Lineage: Bacteria; Pseudomonadati; Pseudomonadota; Gammaproteobacteria; Vibrionales; Vibrionaceae.